This 485-nucleotide long non-coding RNA is filed under the name Junco hyemalis (dark-eyed junco). RNAcentral describes it as "lncRNA (ENSJHYG00000008626.1)". Lineage: Eukaryota; Metazoa; Chordata; Aves; Passeriformes; Passerellidae. The record is from RNAcentral.
GCGUGGCCGGCCCCGCCCUCUCCCGCUCUGGCCCCGCCCUCCUUUCCCUGUCCAGGGGCGCCCUCAGAGCUCGGGGUGACCCCGGAGCCGCCGGCGCCGCCCUGGGGGCCCUGGGAGCUCUCGUGGCCCUCGUGGGACCCAAAAAAACGAAUUUGCUUCGCUCUCUGGUCCCCGAGGUCCUGGCGGCGCUGGAGGAGCUGCUGAGCCUGGAUGAGGAGCGCGGGGCCGACGCUUUGGAGGUUCUGGAUGAGUUCCUGGAAGCCAAUCCUGAAUCCCUGAUCCCACAUCUGAAGCCCAUGCUGGAGCUCUGCCUGCAGGUAAAGGCAAAAAUUUCAUUUUUUCAGCCCAAAAUUUGGGAAUUCUGAGCCAAAAAAAUUGGGAUUUUUAACCCCAAAAAAUUUGGGACACCAGGUCUACCCCUAUUGAAGUCAAUGGGGAUUUAUAGACACCAGGUCUACCCCCAUUGAAACCAAUGGGGAAUUUCA